AUUGAACGCUGGCGGCAGGCCUAACACAUGCGAGUCGAGCGCGAAAGUCUUCGGAUGAGUAAAGCGGCGGACGGGUGAGUAAUGCAUGGGAAUCUGCCUGGUAGUGGGGGACAACGUUUCGAAAGGAACGCUAAUACCGCAUACGCCCUACGGGGGAAAGGGGGGGAUCUUCGGACCUCUCGCUAUCAGAUGAGCCCAUGUCAGAUUAGCUUGUUGGUGAGGUAAAGGCUCACCAAGGCGACGAUCUGUAACUGGUCUGAGAGGAUGAUCAGUCACACUGGAACUGAGACACGGUCCAGACUCCUACGGGAGGCAGCAGUGGGGAAUAUUGGACAAUGGGCGAAAGCCUGAUCCAGCCAUGCCGCGUGUGUGAAGAAGGCCUUAGGGUUGUAAAGCACUUUCAGUGGGGAGAAAGGUAAUUCACCUAAUACGUGAGUUAAUUGAUGUUACCCACAGAAGAAGCACCGGCUAACUCCGUGCCAGCAGCCGCAGUAA
RNAcentral lists this ribosomal RNA (495 nucleotides) under uncultured bacterium. RNAcentral describes it as "partial 16S ribosomal RNA". It matches the Rfam family "Bacterial small subunit ribosomal RNA", at positions 30 to 523 of the family's 1533-position model. The record is from RNAcentral.